RNAcentral lists this non-coding RNA (30 nucleotides) under Mus musculus (house mouse). Lineage: Eukaryota; Metazoa; Chordata; Mammalia; Rodentia; Muridae. The record is from RNAcentral.
UUCAAUGUCAUCCCUUCUUGCCACCUAUGU